This 370-nucleotide ribosomal RNA is filed under the name uncultured Anaerolineaceae bacterium. Its description in RNAcentral is "bacterial SSU rRNA". It matches the Rfam family "Bacterial small subunit ribosomal RNA", at positions 999 to 1382 of the family's 1533-position model. Lineage: Bacteria; Bacillati; Chloroflexota; Anaerolineae; Anaerolineales; Anaerolineaceae. The record is from RNAcentral.
AUCUGAAAAGUGAACGACCCUUCGGGGAGCUUUGCACAGGUUGCUGCAUGGCUGUCGUCAGCUCGUGUCGUGAGAUGUUCGGUUAAGUCCGCUAACGAGCGCAACCCUCACUGUGUGUUAUAUGUGUCACACGGGACUGCCGGUUUUAAGCCGGAGGAAGGCGGGAUGACGUCAAGUCAGCAUGGCCUUUAUAUCCUGGGCUACACACACGCUACAAUGGUCUGUACAAUAGGUUGCCAAGCCGCGAGGCGGAGCCAAUCCAAAAAAGCAGGCCUCAGUUCAGAUCGCAGGCUGCAACCCGCCUGCGUGAAGCCGGAGUUGCUAGUAACCGCAGGUCAGCUAUACUGCGGUGAAUACGUUCCCGGGGCUU